Molecule: ribosomal RNA, 754 nt
Filed under: uncultured delta proteobacterium
Lineage: Bacteria; Deltaproteobacteria
Description: bacterial SSU rRNA
Rfam family: Bacterial small subunit ribosomal RNA
Source: RNAcentral
AGCGGCGGACGGGUGAGUAACACGUGGAUAACCUGCCUGGAAGUGGGGAAUAACUCAGGGAAACUUGAGCUAAUACCGCAUACCUUCGCACCGUGCAGGCGGUGCGAGCAAAGAUGGCCUCUUCAUGAAAGCUGUCGCUACCAGAGGGAUCCGCGGCUGAUUAGCUAGUUGGUGAGGUAACGGCUCACCAAGGCUGCGAUCAGUAGCCGGCCUGAGAGGGUGAUCGGCCACACUGGAACUGAGACACGGUCCAGACUCCUACGGGAGGCAGCAGUGGGGAAUAUUGGACAAUGGGGGAAACCCUGAUCCAGCAACGCCGCGUGGAGGAUGAAGGCCUUCGGGUUGUAAACUCCUGUCAGGUGGGACGAAAGGUCUCCGGUUAAUGCCCGGAGUUCGUGACGGUACCACCGGAGGAGGCCCCGGCUAACUCCGUGCCAGCAGCCGCGGUAAUACGGAGGGGGCAAGCGUUAUUCGGAAUUAUUGGGCGUAAAGGGCGCGUAGGCGGCCUGACAAGUCAGGGGUGAAUUCCCUCGGCUCAACCGAGGAACUGCCUCUGAAACUGUCUGGCUUGAGGCCGGGAGAGGGUGGUGGAAUUCCCAGUGUAGCGGUGAAAUGCGUAGAUAUUGGGAGGAACACCGGUGGCGAAGGCGGCCACCUGGACCGGUUCUGACGCUGAGGCGCGAAAGUGUGGGGAGCAAACAGGAUUAGAUACCCUGGUAGUCCACACUGUAAACGAUGAGCACUCGGUGCCGCG